AACAUGAGGAACUUCGACGGAGAGAGUGCCUUGGUAAAUAGAUCGGCCAACUGAUCAGAGGAAGGAAUAUACUGAACACGCAAUUUUCGAUCAAGUACUCGAUCUCUCAGAUAGUGUAUAUCAAGCUCGAUGUGCUUUGUGCGAGCGUGAUAGACAGGAUUUGAAGCAAGAGCUAAGGCACUUAAAUUAUCACACCAGGCGAUCGGAGGAUUCUUCAAUCGAACGCCGAACUCACCUACGAGAGAUUGAAUCCAUGCCAGUUCAGUUGCAAGAUUUGCAAGGGCUCUGUACUCAGAUUCAGCGCUUGACCGAGCUACGACUUGCUGCUUCUUAGCUGACCAAGAGAUGAGAGAGUCACCGAGGAAUACACAGUACCCGCUUAUUGAUCUACGAUCAUCCGGGCAUACAGCCCAAUCAGCGUCGGUGAAACCUUGCAAGGUUCUUUGAGAAUAAUUGGAUCUGUACUGACAACACCAACAUAGGGCUCCUUGGGUUUGUAAAUACCCAUUCUGCUUCUGGUUACCAUCGGAUGUCGCACUGGAACUAGAGCUGUAUCAUUUGAAGAAGGAGAGGUGGAUGGUGAGGAGAAGUCGGAUGAUGAACUUCCUUCUACUGCUGUAUGUCUGAUUGGUGAUGGUUGAUGAUUGUUUGAGUCUGACAUGGAUGGGUUUGAAGACUGAGUUGGAAGCUGGCUCUGGCGUCUUGAAUCCUCAGCAACAAAUUGUGGUUGAGUAGAAGUUGAUAGUGAUGGCAGUGUUGAAUUCUGAGGAUCACUAUGUUGAUUUCCUGAAUCUGAAAUUUGACAUUCAACUGGAUAGGAGGAGACAAUUGAUUUGAAGAAUUCCCUCGGAUGCACCAUCUCUUCAGGGUCUAAGACAUGGAUAACAAGCAGACCCAAAUAUCUUCAGAGAUUCAUAAUCAGGAAGUUUGCAGAAUAAUCUCAGAUAAGCUCUACCAUUUUGUGGUGAAGUGUGAGGACAUGAGUGCCUAAAGUGAAUUCCAGAUUCUUGCAACAAUCUUAAAGCCAUCACCAACAGUAAUAUUCAUCUUACCAGAGGGAGUAGCAGAAUCAUCAAGUUUGGCUAGAUCCUUAGUGACAUGACUUGUUGCUCCACUAUCCAUGUACCAGGAAUCAUCAUUAAUAGUCUCUGGAGUUGCCCAAUAAGCAUUUUCGAAAUCAGAAUAGGAACUGGCACCUUUGUUGACUUCAGUUUUCUUGGUUCUAGGUUUGACAAAACUUCUAUCAUAGCGAUGAAAGCAAGUCUCCACUGUGUGACCCACUUUAUCACAUAGCUGGCAUCUGGGAGGAACAUCAUCAUUGUUGUAGUUGAAGCGUCCACGGCCUCUGUUGCUUCUGCCUCUGCUUCUU
Long non-coding RNA from Neltuma alba, 1369 nucleotides. RefSeq lists it as uncharacterized. Lineage: Eukaryota; Viridiplantae; Streptophyta; Magnoliopsida; Fabales; Fabaceae. The transcript is spliced from 5 exons. The record is from RefSeq and is a predicted model, not a curated record.